AUCUAACCAAAAAAGUGCCUCUAUAUGGGUGCUGAAGAAUGCAGCGAAAGUAUUCAUUCGUAUUUUUUAGCAGAAGUGACUUGCGUUAGAACGCGACGAGCCCAAAUCGUAGAGUUUGAUUCAUGUGUCCUCGGAUCGUCCGCGAAGGUCUUCUAUCACUCCAAACUUGCGGUUGAUCGAACUACAAACGAGCACGAUCUCCAAUUCACAGUUCAAGACCCUCUAGAAUAAUAGGUUAAUGAAGUAUGUGGUUUCUUGUUGUCUUUCUUUGUUGUGUCUUAUAUGAGAUUGCCCGUAUAUUUAUAAGGGAUUCUAAAAUCCUAAUAGGUACGUAAGAGAUAAGGUCAAAUCGGUUUAUAAUUAUUAUCCUAAUAUGAUUAGAAUUUAUCUCUAAUUAACUUUUCAAUUUUAAAGCGAGAUUAAUCCUAAUCCAAUUAAUCAACGUAAUCAACGUAAUAACCAUCGGAUUGAGUCCGAUUAUGGGCGCACCCGAUUCGACUUAAC
RNAcentral lists this long non-coding RNA (504 nucleotides) under Ananas comosus (pineapple). RNAcentral's name for it is "long non-coding RNA (ACOM_LNC026043)". The record is from RNAcentral. Lineage: Eukaryota; Viridiplantae; Streptophyta; Magnoliopsida; Poales; Bromeliaceae.